Molecule: transfer RNA, 83 nt
Filed under: Schistocephalus solidus
Lineage: Eukaryota; Metazoa; Platyhelminthes; Cestoda; Diphyllobothriidea; Diphyllobothriidae
Rfam family: tRNA
About the family: Transfer RNA (tRNA) molecules are approximately 80 nucleotides in length.
Source: Rfam by way of RNAcentral
GGCCUCGUAGAUCAGUUGGCUGGAGCGUUGGUUGAACUAAAACCCUCCUCUUGCUGGCGUGGGUUCAAAUCCCAUCAAGGCUG